GCCUCCCUCGCCGCCAUCAGACUCCUACGGGAGGCAGCAGUGAGGAAUCGUUCCACAAUGGGCGAAAGCCUAGAUGGAGCAACGCCGCGUGCAGGAUGAAGGCCUUCGGGUCGUAAACUGACUUUUAUAGGUUGAAGAAUAUGACGGUAACUUAUGAAUAAGCAACCGGCUAACUACGUGCCAGCAGCCGCGGUAAUAC
RNAcentral lists this ribosomal RNA (199 nucleotides) under uncultured bacterium. RNAcentral's name for it is "partial 16S ribosomal RNA". It matches the Rfam family "Bacterial small subunit ribosomal RNA", at positions 307 to 526 of the family's 1533-position model. The record is from RNAcentral.